GGCUGGUCUGAGUGCAGUGAUGUUUACAACUAAUUGAUCACAUUCAGUUACAGAUUUAUUUGUUCCUUCUCCAUUCCCACUGCUUCACUUGACUAGCCUUCA
Molecule: unclassified non-coding RNA, 102 nt
Organism: Gorilla gorilla gorilla (western lowland gorilla)
Lineage: Eukaryota; Metazoa; Chordata; Mammalia; Primates; Hominidae
Rfam family: Y RNA
About the family: Y RNAs are components of the Ro ribonucleoprotein particle (Ro RNP), in association with Ro60 and La proteins. The Y RNAs and Ro60 and La proteins are well conserved, but the function of the Ro RNP is not known.
Source: Ensembl